GCGAGCGUGGCGGAACCGGCAGACGCGCCAGGUUUAGGUCCUGGUGCCCUUCGGGGCUUGGGGGUUCGACUCCCCCCGCUCGCA
This 84-nucleotide transfer RNA is filed under the name Actinomycetota bacterium. RNAcentral describes it as "Actinobacteria bacterium tRNA-Leu". It matches the Rfam family "tRNA". Rfam says of the family: Transfer RNA (tRNA) molecules are approximately 80 nucleotides in length. Their secondary structure includes four short double-helical elements and three loops (D, anti-codon, and T loops). The record is from RNAcentral. Lineage: Bacteria; Bacillati; Actinomycetota.